RNAcentral lists this ribosomal RNA (393 nucleotides) under uncultured bacterium. RNAcentral describes it as "bacterial SSU rRNA". It matches the Rfam family "Bacterial small subunit ribosomal RNA", at positions 505 to 898 of the family's 1533-position model. The record is from RNAcentral.
GUGUCAGCAGCCGCGGUAAUACGUAGGCAGCGAGCGUUGUUCGGAGUUACUGGGCGUAAAGAGUGCGUAGGCGGUGCUCUAAGUUUGGUGUGAAAUCUCCCGGCUCAACUGGGAGGGUGCGCCGAAAACUGGAGUGCUCGAGUGUGGGAGAGGUAAGCGGAAUUCCUGGUGUAGCGGUGAAAUGCGUAGAUAUCAGGAGGAACACCUGCGGUGUAGACGGCUUACUGGACCAUGACUGACGCUGAGGCACGAAAGCGUGGGGAGCAAACAGGAUUAGAUACCCUGGUAGUCCACGCCCUAAACGAUGCAUACUUGGUGUGAGCGAUUCAUUUCGUUCGUGCCGGAGCUAACGCGUUAAGUAUGCCGCCUGGGGAGUACGGUCGCAAGGCUGAA